Molecule: ribosomal RNA, 167 nt
Filed under: uncultured bacterium
Lineage: Bacteria
Description: partial 16S rRNA
Rfam family: Bacterial small subunit ribosomal RNA
Source: RNAcentral
CCUACGGGGGGCGGCAGUGGGGAAUAUUGGUCAAUGGGGGAAACCCUGAACCAGCAACGCCGCGUGAAGGAAGAAGGCUUUCGGGUUGUAAACUUCUUUUAAGGGGGACGAUAAUGACGGUACCCCUUGAAUAAGCUACGGCUAACUACGUGCCAGCAGCCCCGGUC